Molecule: ribosomal RNA, 407 nt
Filed under: uncultured bacterium
Lineage: Bacteria
Description: bacterial SSU rRNA
Rfam family: Bacterial small subunit ribosomal RNA
Source: RNAcentral
UGGGGAAUAUUGGGCAAUGGGCGAAAGCCUGACCCAGCAACGCCGCGUGAUUGAAGAAGGUCUUCGGAUUGUAAAGAUCUGUCCUAUGGGAAGAAAAAAAUGACGGUACCAUAGGAGGAAGCCCCGGCUAACUACGUGCCAGCAGCCGCGGUAAUACGUAGGGGGCAAGCGUUGUCCGGAAUUACUGGGCGUAAAGGGUGCGCAGGCGGCGCUUUAAGUCAGAUGUGAAAGACCCGGGCUUAACCUGGGGGGUGCAUUUGAAACUGGAGCACUUGAGUGCAGGAGAGGUAAGUGGAAUUCCUAGUGUAGCGGUGAAAUGCGUAGAUAUUAGGAGGAACACCAGUGGCGAAGGCGACUUACUGGACUGUAACUGACGCUGAGGCACGAAAGCGUGGGGAGCAAACAGG